UCUUCUUUUUUAUUUUUAUUUUUAUUUUCUUUCUCCCGCCAAUUCCUGUUUAGCAGAAGAGAUUUGCGAAUUCAUGGACUUUAUGGAUUCCGAAGAAGCUCCUCCCCCCCCCCCCCCCCCAAAUUAGAAGUCUAAGGCACAAAUGCUCAGCUUGCUAUAAGCAGUACAAAAAGGAGGAGCAUCUCAUUGAGCAUAUGAAAGUGUCAUACCACUCAGUUCAUCAGCCCAAAUGCGGGGUUUGUGGAAAGCAUUGCAAAUCAUUAGAAUCAUUGAGGGAGCAUCUCACUGGUCCAUUGCCCAAAGCCAAUUGUUCAAGUGUUUUUGAUGCCCAAGGUGGAGAU
Molecule: long non-coding RNA, 341 nt
Organism: Telopea speciosissima
Lineage: Eukaryota; Viridiplantae; Streptophyta; Magnoliopsida; Proteales; Proteaceae
Exons: 3
Source: RefSeq, a predicted model, not a curated record